This 179-nucleotide ribosomal RNA is filed under the name Beccarianthus pulcherrimus. RNAcentral's name for it is "5.8S ribosomal RNA". The stretch from base 26 to 179 matches the Rfam family "5.8S ribosomal RNA". Rfam says of the family: 5.8S ribosomal RNA (5.8S rRNA) is a component of the large subunit of the eukaryotic ribosome. It is transcribed by RNA polymerase I as part of the 45S precursor that also contains 18S and 28S rRNA. The record is from RNAcentral. Lineage: Eukaryota; Viridiplantae; Streptophyta; Magnoliopsida; Myrtales; Melastomataceae.
ACGCAAUCUCUGCUCUAGUCUAAACGACUCUCGGCAACGGAUAUCUCGGCUCUUGCAUCGAUGAAGAACGUAGCGAAAUGCGAUGCUUGGUGUGAAUUGCAGAAUCCCGCGAACCAUCAAUUUUUUGAACGCAAGUUGCGCCCGAGGCCAUUCGGCCGAGGGCACGCCUGCCUGGGCGU